GCGAGCGGCGGACGGGUGAGUAACACGUGGGUAACCUGCCCAAGAGACUGGGAUAACACCUGGAAACAGAUGCUAAUACCGGAUAACAACACUAGACGCAUGUCUAGAGUUUGAAAGAUGGUUCUGCUAUCACUCUUGGAUGGACCUGCGGUGCAUUAGCUAGUUGGUAAGGUAACGGCUUACCAAGGCAAUGAUGCAUAGCCGAGUUGAGAGACUGAUCGGCCACAUUGGGACUGAGACACGGACCAGACUCCUACGGGAGGCAGCAGUGAGGAAUAUUGGUCAAUGGCCGGAAGGCUGAACCAGCCAAGUCGCGUGAGGGAAGACGGCCCUAUGGGUUGUAAACCUCUUUUGUCGGGGAGCAAAGGCCGCCACGCGUGGCGGAUUGAGAGUACCCGAAGAAAAAGCAUCGGCUAACUCCGUGCCAGCAGCCGCGGUAAUACGGAGGAUGCGAGCGUUAUCCGGAUUUAUUGGGUUUAAAGGGUGCGCAGGCGGGAUGUCAAGUCAGCGGUCAAAUCGAGGGGCUCAACCCCUUUCCGCCGUUGAAACUGGCGUCCUAGAGUGGGCGAGAAGUACGCGGAAUGUGUGGUGUAGCGGUGAAAUGCAUAGAUAUCACGCAGAACUCCGAUUGCGAAGGCAGCGUACCGGCGCCCAACUGACGCUCAUGCACGAAAGCGUGGGUAUCGAACAGGAUUAGAUACCCUGGUAGUCCACGCAGUAAACGAUGAAUACUAACUGUCCGGCCCGAUCGGGGGCUGGGCGGUACAGCGAAAGCGUUAAGUAUUCCACCUGGGGAGUACGCCGGCAACGGUGAAACUCAAAGGAAUUGACGGGGGCCCGCACAAGCGGAGGAACAUGUGGUUUAAUUCGAUGAUACGCGAGGAACCUUACCCGGGCUCAAACGACGGAUGAAUGUUUUUGAAAGGAGGCAGCCCUUCGGGGCAUCCGUCGAGGUGCUGCAUGGUUGUCGUCAGCUCGUGCCGUGAGGUGUCGGCUUAAGUGCCAUAACGAGCGCAACCCCCAUCGCCAGUUACCAGCAAGUGAAGUUGGGGACUCUGGCGAGACUGCCGGCGCAAGCUGUGAGGAAGGCGGGGAUGACGUCAAAUCAGCACGGCCCUUACGUCCGGGGCGACACACGUGUUACAAUGGCAGGUACAGAGAGAUGCCACCUGGCGACAGGGAGCAGAACUCGAAAGCCUGUCUCAGUUCGGAUCGGAGUCUGCAACCCGACUCCGUGAAGCUGGAUUCGCUAGUAAUCGCGCAUCAGCCAUGGCGCGGUGAAUACGUCCCGGGCCUUGCACACACCGCCCGUCAAG
RNAcentral lists this ribosomal RNA (1316 nucleotides) under uncultured bacterium. RNAcentral describes it as "bacterial SSU rRNA". It matches the Rfam family "Bacterial small subunit ribosomal RNA", at positions 91 to 1401 of the family's 1533-position model. The record is from RNAcentral.